Molecule: ribosomal RNA, 135 nt
Filed under: uncultured Clostridium sp.
Lineage: Bacteria; Bacillati; Bacillota; Clostridia; Eubacteriales; Clostridiaceae
Description: partial 16S ribosomal RNA
Rfam family: Bacterial small subunit ribosomal RNA
Source: RNAcentral
UGGGCGAAGCCUGAUGCAGCAACGCCGCGUGAGCGAUGAAGGCCUUCGGGUCGUAAAGCUCUGUCCUCAAGGAAGAUAAUGACGGUACUUGAGGAGGAAGCCCCGGCUAACUACGUGCCAGCAGCCGCGGUAAUA